GCAGUAGGAGGGCUCUGGAAUGUUGGGGGAGGGGUCAUGAGGAAAACCAGAAAUUGGCCUUUCUCUUUUAUAAACCGUCAGAACCAUUGUGACUAAUAUGAAAUGAAGACAUUAUUCUUAUUCUGCACCCAGCCCCAGUGAACUUUUUAAGUAAUUGUUUUGUAAGCAAUUUUUGUAUUUGCAAAAGUCUUUGCUUUCUCUUCCCACUUUCUUACAGGAAGUCUGUUAUUUCCUUAUUGGAUACAGCCAUAGUAAGCCUCUCUAGUGAUCCACCUUGAGGGGUUCAGAACUCCCUCAGGAAGGUCACCACAUCAUUUACCCGCUGCUUCUCUGCAGAAUUUUUGUCUCUCAGACCCAGGGGAAGUUGGCUUUGUCUUUUCUCUACAAAAGACUCCCAGAUCUGAGACCAGGAGAGAUUUUGAUUGUGUAACUCAUUUUUUUAUAAAUACACCGUUCUGUAGUUCUUUCAGUUUAAGCCAGCAGACGUUGCCAGCCUUCCCCUCGUUCUGCCUCUACAGAGUUGCUUCUUGAAGUAAGAAGGACUCAUGAGUCAUGGCUUUUUGUGUCGUUAGCAACCCGGAACAGCCCUUGCACAGCAGCCUUUCCUACUGGGUGGGCAGUGCUGGGAGGCACCCAGAGGAGUCUUCCGGUUGUGUGAAACUGCAGGUCCUGCUCCCCGUCUGCCCAGGCUGCAAGCUACAGCUGCAGAGCACUCCAUAGACUCCUUCCAGGGUCUUAGGACAAAUAUCAAAUAAUUAAU
Molecule: long non-coding RNA, 760 nt
Filed under: Bos taurus (domestic cattle)
Lineage: Eukaryota; Metazoa; Chordata; Mammalia; Artiodactyla; Bovidae
Description: long non-coding RNA NONBTAT010580
Source: RNAcentral